CCUACGGGGGGCAGCAGUAGGGAAUAUUGCUCAAUGGGGGAAACCCUGAAGCAGCAACGCCGCGUGGAGGAUGAAGGUUUUAUGAUUUUAAAACCCUUUUUUUAGAGAAGAUAAUGACGGUAUCUAACGAAUAAGCACCGUCUAACUCCGUGCCAGCAGCCGCGGUAAUACGGAGGGUGCAAGCGUUAUUCGGAAUCACUGGGCGUAAAGCGCGCGUAGGCGGGAUAGCAGGUCAGAUGUGAAAUCCUAUGGCUUAACCAUAGAAUUGCAGUUGAAACUGUUAUUCUAGAGUAUGGUAGAGGUAGGUGGAAUUCGUGGUGUAGCGGUGAAAUGCGUAGAGAUCACGAAGAAUACUCAUUGCGAAGGCGACCUGCUAGAACAUAACUGACGCUGAUGCGCGAAAGCGUGGGGAGCAAACAGGAUUAGAUACCCGAGUAGUC
RNAcentral lists this ribosomal RNA (440 nucleotides) under uncultured bacterium. RNAcentral's name for it is "partial 16S ribosomal RNA". It matches the Rfam family "Bacterial small subunit ribosomal RNA", at positions 338 to 795 of the family's 1533-position model. The record is from RNAcentral.